GGUCUCUUAUGAUGCUUUGCACUGGGCUCUGAAUUUCUGUGGCGACGAUGUGCUGCUCUGCUCCUGACAUGGCAGAGUCUGAGGAGAUG
Small nucleolar RNA from Alosa sapidissima (American shad), 89 nucleotides. NCBI's taxonomy places the organism in Eukaryota, Metazoa, Chordata, Actinopteri, Clupeiformes, Clupeidae. The record is from RefSeq and is a predicted model, not a curated record.